GUAGACAACCUACCUUCUAGAUGGGGACAACACCGCGAAAGUGGUGCUAAUACCGAAUGUUGCAUCGAGGGCUCAUGCCUUUGCUGCCAAAGAUGGCCUCUUUACAAUGCUAUCGCUAGAAGAUGGGUCUGCGUCUGAUUAGCUAGUUGGCGGGGUAAAAGCCCACCAAGGCGACGAUCAGUAGCCGGUCUGAGAGGAUGAACGGCCACACUGGGACUGGGACACGGCCCAGACUCCUACGGGAGGCAGCAGUGGGAAAUCUUCCGCAAUGGACGAAAGUCUGACGGAGCAACGCCGCGUGAGUGAUGAAGGUCUUCGGAUUGUAAAGCUCUGUUGUAAGAGAAGAACGGGUGUGAGAGUGGAAAGUUCACACUGUGACGGUAUCUUACCAGAAAGGGACGGCUAACUACGUGCCAGCAGCCGCGGUAAUACGUAGGUCCCGAGCGUUGUCCGGAUUUAUUGGGCGUAAAGCGAGCGCAGGCGGUUAGAUAAGUCUGAAGUUAAAGGCUGUGGCUUAACCAUAGUAUGCUUUGGAAACUGUUUAACUUGAGUGCAGAAGGGGAGAGUGGAAUU
This 573-nucleotide ribosomal RNA is filed under the name uncultured Veillonellaceae bacterium. RNAcentral describes it as "bacterial SSU rRNA". It matches the Rfam family "Bacterial small subunit ribosomal RNA", at positions 117 to 668 of the family's 1533-position model. The record is from RNAcentral. Lineage: Bacteria; Bacillati; Bacillota; Negativicutes; Veillonellales; Veillonellaceae.